RNAcentral lists this small nuclear RNA (23 nucleotides) under Arabidopsis thaliana (thale cress). RNAcentral describes it as "snRNA_09865". Lineage: Eukaryota; Viridiplantae; Streptophyta; Magnoliopsida; Brassicales; Brassicaceae. The record is from RNAcentral.
CCUGAGCGGGGUAAAGCCAGAGG